UCAGGAUGAACGCUGGCGGCGUGCUUAACACAUGCAAGUCGAACGAAGCUCUUUGAAGUGAGGAUUCGUCUGAACGGAUGAGAUGACUUAGUGGCGGACGGGUGAGUAACGCGUGGGUAACCUGCCGUAUGCAGGGGGACAACAGUUGGAAACGACUGCUAAUACCGCAUAAGCGCACGGUUCUGCAUGGAACAGUGUGAAAAGAUUUAUCGGCAUACGAUGGACCCGCGUCUGAUUAGCUAGUUGGUGAGGUAACGGCCCACCAAGGCGACGAUCAGUAGCCGGCCUGAGAGGGUGAACGGCCACAUUGGGACUGAGACACGGCCCAAACUCCUAACGGGAGGCAGCAGUGGGGAAUAUUGCACAAUGGGGGAAACCCUGAUGCAGCGACGCCGCGUGAGUGAAGAAGUAUUUCGGUAUGUAAAGCUCUAUCAGCAGGGAAGAAAAUGACGGUACCUGACUAAGAAGCCCCGGCUAACUACGUGCCAGCCGCGGC
RNAcentral lists this ribosomal RNA (496 nucleotides) under uncultured bacterium. RNAcentral describes it as "bacterial SSU rRNA". It matches the Rfam family "Bacterial small subunit ribosomal RNA", at positions 24 to 518 of the family's 1533-position model. The record is from RNAcentral.